AUGGGCGCAAGCCUGAUGCAGCGACGCCGCGUGAGGGAUGACGGCCUUCGGGUUGUAAACCUCUUUCAGUAGGGAAGAAGCCGCAAGGUGACGGUACCUGCAGAAGAAGCGCCGGCUAACUACGUGCCAGCAGCCGCGGUAAUACGUAGGGCGCAAGCGUUAUCCGGAAUUAUUGGGCGUAAAGAGCUCGUAGGCGGUUUGUCGCGUCUGCCGUGAAAGUCCGGGGCUCAACUCCGGAUCUGCGGUGGGUACGGGCAGACUAGAGUGAUGUAGGGGAGACUGGAAUUCCUGGUGUAGCGGUGAAAUGCGCAGAUAUCAGGAGGAACACCGAUGGCGAAGGCAGGUCUCUGGGCAUUAACUGACGCUGAGGAGCGAAAGCAUGGGGAGCGAACAGGAUUAGAUACCCUGGUAGUCCAUGCCGUAAACGUUGGGCACUAGGUGUGGGGGACAUUCCACGUUUUCCGCGCCGUAGCUAACGCAUUAAGUGCCCCGCCUGGGGAGUACGGCCGCAAGGCUAAAACUCAAAGGAAUUGACGGGGGCCCGCACAAGCGGCGGAGCAUGCGGAUUAAUUCGAUGCAACGCGAAGAACCUUACCAAGGCUUGACAUGAACCGGACCGCUGCAGAAAUGUGGUUUCCCCUUUGGGGCUGGUUUACAGGUGGUGCAUGGUUGUCGUCAGCUCGUGUCGUGAGAUGUUGGGUUAAGUCCCGCAACGAGCGCAACCCUCGUUCUAUGUUGCCAGCACGUGAUGGUGGGGACUCAUAGGAGACUGCCGGGGUCAACUCGGAGGAAGGUGGGGACGACGUCAAAUCAUCAUGCCCCUUAUGUCUUGGGCUUCACGCAUGCUACAAUGGCCGGUACAAAGGGUUGCGAUACUGUGAGGUGGAGCUAAUCCCAAAAAGCCGGUCUCAGUUCGGAUUGGGGUCUGCAACUCGACCCCAUGAAGUCGGAGUCGCUAGUAAUCGCAGAUCAGCAACGCUGCGGUGAAUACGUUCCCGGGCCUUGUACACACCGCCCGUCAAGUCACGAAAGUUGGUAACACCCGAAGCCGGUGGCCUAACC
RNAcentral lists this ribosomal RNA (1062 nucleotides) under Arthrobacter sp. OTB102. RNAcentral describes it as "bacterial SSU rRNA". It matches the Rfam family "Bacterial small subunit ribosomal RNA", at positions 371 to 1440 of the family's 1533-position model. The record is from RNAcentral. Lineage: Bacteria; Bacillati; Actinomycetota; Actinomycetes; Micrococcales; Micrococcaceae.